Molecule: RNA transcript, 1144 nt
Organism: Clupea harengus (Atlantic herring)
Lineage: Eukaryota; Metazoa; Chordata; Actinopteri; Clupeiformes; Clupeidae
Gene: efcab11
Gene name: EF-hand calcium binding domain 11
Source: RefSeq, a predicted model, not a curated record
UCAAGACAUUUGGUACACAGGCCAGGUACCCAGGCCAUUGAUUCUACCAACGUGUGCGAUUUCGAAAUGUUUUCCACUUUUAGUUUCUGUCAACGCGAAAAAAACAGAACUGAUGUGGAUACAAAGCGUUUUGACGAGGUUUUCCAACUGUGUGACGUGGACAAGAAAGGUUACUUGAGCGGAGAGGACAUGAAGCUGGCGGUUGUCAUGCUUUUUGGAUAUAAGCCAUCAAAGUCAGAAACUAUUAACUUAAUGGCCAACUACACAUCGACAGGGGUCCCUCUGGAGCAGUUUGUGCCUCUCAUGGGGAAGAAGUUGUCUGUGGAGUAUCGCAAUGAGAAGACGAGGCGGAUCUUCAAUGCGUUUGAUGCUCAGUGUCGUGGCUUCCUGAAACUGGAGGACUUCAAGCGUGCGUUCAACCUCGUGGCACCACGACUGCCAGAGAGGACGGUGCUGGAGGCUUUUCGACAUGUGGACAAGGACGCGGACGGCUUUGUGAGCUUCAAGGACUUUGAAAAUGUCAUCAGCUACGGGCAGGCGAACAGCUGAGGCGUUCCGGGCCUCCCUCUGAGCCAGCUGUGGCGGCAGCGGCCAUCACGCCACAACGGCCACCGCCAGCAACUAGGGGGAAAGCUCUGAUGUCUCCAUCCCUGUAACCUGUCUGUUGUUGAUCUAUUGUCCCGCCGGGUGCUGGUAGCAGCUAUCCCCUCUACAGGUUGUUUUCCCAGGAGCACUCUGCCCGUAUAUACGGGGGGGACCUUUGUGUGCCUGCUGGUCGCCACUUCAAACCCAUUAAGCGGCACGGUGAAGCCUGAUGUCUUUUAAUCCCCAGGACUAAAUCCACUUCCGCAGGAGAAAUGAACUGGCAGCUCACUGCAACAGAAAAAAUUGAAUGUGAACAAUAGUAAUCAGAUUAAGCCUUUUAAUCAGUUUCUUUAGGUGAAAAAACAGGCAGGUAUGGAUGCAUACUGAACAGCCCGUGAAACUUGGAAUUCUGGAGGAUUCUCUGUGGUUUCUUCUUGUUACACACGAUUACGGAACAGUAAAUACUUGUUUGUGUUUUGAGAGAUUUGCUGCACUCCCGUCGGAAUAAAGAUUAAUGUUUUUGUAAUCAGUCUUGAGUCCUCAUCUGAAUGACGCACGC